AUAAAAUAGCAACAAAAGUGUGUGUUUAUUAAAGCACAAAUGCAGCCAGCUACAGUGAAGCCUGGGCAAUGGAUGUUGGCAAUGCACGCGCUCAGAACGGAUGCAAAGGGAAUGACCGCGCACAAAUAACACUAGCACAACCACUAGCACAGUGAACACCGCCGCAGCACACACCAAA
RNAcentral lists this small RNA (178 nucleotides) under Drosophila erecta. Its description in RNAcentral is "GG27285". Lineage: Eukaryota; Metazoa; Arthropoda; Insecta; Diptera; Drosophilidae. The record is from RNAcentral.